CGGAGGCAGCAGUGGGGAAUAUUGGACAAUGGGGGCAACCCUGAUCCAGCAAUGCCGCGUGAGUGAUGAAGGCCUUAGGGUUGUAAAGCUCUUUUACCCGCGACGAUGAUGACGGUAGCGGGAGAAUAAGCCCCGGCUAACUUCGUGCCAGCAGCCGCGGUAAUACGAAGGGGGCUAGCGUUGUUCGGAGUUACUGGGCGUAAAGGGCGCGUAGGCGGCGCACCAAGUCAGGCGUGAAAGCCCUGGGCUCAACCCGGGAAUUGCGCUUGAGACUGGUGUGCUUGAGUACGGGAGAGGAUAGUGGAAUUCCCAGUGUAGAGGUGAAAUUCGUAGAUAUUGGGAAGAACACCGGUGGCGAAGGCGGCUAUCUGGACCGUAACUGACGCUGAGGCGCGAAAGCGUGGGGAGCAAACAGGAUUAGAUACCCCGGUAGC
RNAcentral lists this ribosomal RNA (434 nucleotides) under uncultured bacterium. RNAcentral's name for it is "bacterial SSU rRNA". It matches the Rfam family "Bacterial small subunit ribosomal RNA", at positions 343 to 794 of the family's 1533-position model. The record is from RNAcentral.